AGAUUGAACGCUGGCGGCAGGCCUAACACAUGCAAGUCGAGCGGCAGCACGGGUACUUGUACCUGGUGGCGAGCGGCGGACGGGUGAGUAAUGCCUAGGAAUCUGCCUGGUAGUGGGGGAUAACGCUCGGAAACGGACGCUAAUACCGCAUUACGUCCUACGGGAGAAAGCAGGGGACCUUCGGGCCUUGCGCUAUCAGAUGAGCCUAGGUCGAUUAGCUAGUUGGUGAGGUAAUGGCUCACCAAGGCGACGAUCCGUAACUGGUCUGAGAGGAUGAUCAGUCACACUGGAACUGAGACACGGUCCAGACUCCUACGGGAGGCAGCAGUGGGGAAUAUUGCACAAUGGGACGAAAGCCUGAUGCAGCGACGCGCGUGAGGAUGAAGGCCGUUGGUUCGUAAACCUCUUUACGAGUCGAGGACGAAGCGCGAGGUCGACGGUACCUGAC
This 448-nucleotide ribosomal RNA is filed under the name uncultured soil bacterium. RNAcentral describes it as "bacterial SSU rRNA". It matches the Rfam family "Bacterial small subunit ribosomal RNA", at positions 26 to 473 of the family's 1533-position model. The record is from RNAcentral.